UGUUAUUUAGGGUCAUCUUAUUUGGAUAAGAGAUUAUUCAGUUCCACUGCUUCCCUCUACCACUCAUCUUUUACCACUCAUCUUUUGAGCUUUUUUAUAGCCAAAGACUUUUACCUGAAAAUGAAGAGGAAGACACCAGUCGCUUC
Cebus imitator (Panamanian white-faced capuchin) is the source of this 146-nucleotide unclassified non-coding RNA. NCBI's taxonomy places the organism in Eukaryota, Metazoa, Chordata, Mammalia, Primates, Cebidae. The record is from Ensembl.